CCCAGGAUGCGCAUGCGCGACAGAGCCCCUGGGGGGGGGGGGGCCGGGCGCGCGGAGGGGAGGAGCUGUUCCAUCCGGGUAUCCGGCAGCCAGAGGCUGUUUUGUUUUCCUGGCUGAAAACAGUGGGGUGACCGGACCCUGUUGUUGCCGGUAGAAUGUGGGCCUCCGUCCUCCCGGAAGCCGCAGACUCGGGCUGUGCCUCCGUGGACCCUUCCUGGCCACUUUCUCCUGACCCGUGUCCGCCAGGCUGCCGGACCCCGCCCCUCCCCGGGACGUCACGGGAUCUCUGUAAACGCAUUGUUGACUUAGAAAAGGGGGUCAGAAUGACGUCUGAGAUGUCUCUUCCGAGGACGAUGUGCUUGGCGUUGGGGAUCAACAACGGUGACUGUUUUAUUUCCAAGGGUUUAUGAAUAGGAUACAUUCCAAACAAACCUAUUGUUUUUAAUAAAGUAUGACAGUUAGCUUGAAAUAACUUUUCACUGAAUGAACUAACCACAUCUCUAAGGAGAGUUAGUCAUUAUGUGAGCUUCUUUGCAAGUCGAGUGGCAUUUUUACAAAAGCCAUUUCUUUGGAGGGAGUAUGUACAAACUCACUUUUCUCUUACUUCACCCCACAUCCCCAAACAUGCACAGAAGUGGAGGGAAUAAAAACUUUAUCAUGGAAUCUGCACCCACCCAUGUGAUCUGCCUGCUAGGCACUUUCCACGGUAUCAUCCACGUCUCUGAGGAAGCAUCAUGAUAGAAAUAGUUAAGUGAAGAAAUGUUUCUUUUCUAAGCGCUUUCACAAGUCAACCGGGAAGACACAGUGCCCAUCUGCCAGAAACUUUUGCUGAACGUUAUGAAGCUGUGUGAAUGGACAGAAAAAUAUAAUGAAUUUCAGAUUUGACAAGUGUAAAAAUGAUGUGUUAGGCGAAAUAAUGUGAAACUAUGCAUAUAAGAUGAUGGGGUCUUGGGGCUGG
RNAcentral lists this long non-coding RNA (958 nucleotides) under Equus asinus (donkey). RNAcentral describes it as "lncRNA (ENSEASG00005029251.1)". The record is from RNAcentral. Lineage: Eukaryota; Metazoa; Chordata; Mammalia; Perissodactyla; Equidae.